RNAcentral lists this ribosomal RNA (387 nucleotides) under uncultured bacterium. Its description in RNAcentral is "bacterial SSU rRNA". It matches the Rfam family "Bacterial small subunit ribosomal RNA", at positions 29 to 402 of the family's 1533-position model. The record is from RNAcentral.
AAUCAACGCUGGCGGCGUGCCUAACACAUGCAAGUCGAACGCGAAAGUGGAGCAAUCCAUGAGUAGAGUGGCAAACGGGUGAGUAACGCGUGGGCGACCUACCUUCGAGUGGGGGAUAACCUUCCGAAAGGAGGGCUAAUACCGCAUGACAUCCCGUGUUUGGAUACACGGACAUCAAAGCCGGGGAUCGCAAGACCUGGCGCUUGGAGAGGGGCCCGCGUCCGAUUAGCUAGUUGGUGAGGUAACGGCUCACCAAGGCGACGAUCGGUAGCCGGCCUGAGAGGGCGACCGGCCACACUGGAACUGAGACACGGUCCAGACUCCUACGGGAGGCAGCAGUGGGGAAUCUUGUGCAAUGGGCGAAAGCCUGACGCAGCGACGCCGCGU